CAGGUGUGAACGUACCGAAGACGCAUCGAGGACACAUUGAGAUCAGCUCUUUCAGAUCACAUUCAGAGGUGGUCUGGGCCACAUAUGACCACAUUCUUUUAGCAGUGUCUAGUGAAUGUGUCCUGGGCCACAUUAAGGACCGCCUACUCAUCUGAUGUCCAGCUGGGAUCCGCGGGAUCACCGCG
This is a long non-coding RNA of Sebastes umbrosus (honeycomb rockfish), 185 nucleotides long. RefSeq lists it as uncharacterized. NCBI's taxonomy places the organism in Eukaryota, Metazoa, Chordata, Actinopteri, Perciformes, Sebastidae. The record is from RefSeq and is a predicted model, not a curated record. The transcript has 3 exons.